Non-coding RNA from Schistosoma mattheei, 45 nucleotides. The record is from Rfam. Lineage: Eukaryota; Metazoa; Platyhelminthes; Trematoda; Strigeidida; Schistosomatidae.
AUUUGGCUGACGAGUCCCAAAUAGGACGAAACGGACGUCUUGGAU